CAUUUGCACUAGUUUGACAUUUGCUCAACAUUUAUCUAAGUUAACGCUAAAUUUGCACUAUUGAAGAAAAACACGUCUUCUUUGAUAUUUCUCAGAGUUCUUGCAUAACUUGUCUUCUUUGCCUCCUUAACUUUGAUUACCCCCCUCAACAAAUUUCAUUAAGCCCCUCCACUGUACAUGUUGUGUAUCGCAUUUUUUACAUCAUGACUUGCUUCUAGGAACCACACUACACAAUGUCAUUGUAGGUGUUUUGCAUCGUAAUUUUCACAUCAGGACUUGCUUCUAGGAGCCUGGCUCAACAAUGUCACUGCUUCGAUGACAUCAGUUUUAUGUCAUGCUUGCAUGCCACAGCCACAUUAUCUAAAAACACUUUUUGCCAGGAUAUGUCAUCAUGAGUUUAAUUGAACUUUAAAUGCCGCAACCAUGGCUACGAUGGGUGUAUGCAAAAUUACAAACACACAAAUCUUUGGCAAUAUCGAAAUUUCGCUUUAUAUCUUCCAAAAUACCUAGUCAACAAAAACAUAGCAAACACUAGCUGUAAUGACUCAAGGCAUUGUCCAGAAAUUAAAAUAAGGCCGCCAAUAAAUUAGCACAGUCAAGGUAUGACCACGAGCCCCUUGAUCGCAUCGGAUAAGCAGUUAACCACUAGCUCAACACCAGCUAUAGUAUAGUACACCCCCGCUCCACCUGGGAUAAUCAGUAUCCUAAUCACUAUUUUACUAGUGCAGCAGCGGGAUCACAACUGUGCCAGCGUCGUCUUGACUGUACAAGUGCAGUAGUAGAAGUGUAUUUCCCGCUGGCGCCGGAAGCAUUUCACGUUGGGAUCUCAGGU
This 832-nucleotide long non-coding RNA is filed under the name Hordeum vulgare. RNAcentral's name for it is "long non-coding RNA (HVUL_LNC013924)". Lineage: Eukaryota; Viridiplantae; Streptophyta; Magnoliopsida; Poales; Poaceae. The record is from RNAcentral.